UGAGUCACAGGAAAUGGCAUUUUCCUACUCAACCGCCUGCUUAAAGUCAAGGCUGAUAAUGCCUACAAUUUU
RNAcentral lists this non-coding RNA (72 nucleotides) under Ferrovum sp. RNAcentral describes it as "Fluoride sequence". It matches the Rfam family "Fluoride riboswitch aptamer (crcB RNA motif)". The record is from RNAcentral. Lineage: Bacteria; Pseudomonadati; Pseudomonadota; Betaproteobacteria; Ferrovales; Ferrovaceae.